RNAcentral lists this ribosomal RNA (689 nucleotides) under Salmonella enterica. RNAcentral describes it as "partial 23S ribosomal RNA". It matches the Rfam family "Bacterial large subunit ribosomal RNA", at positions 137 to 867 of the family's 2925-position model. The record is from RNAcentral. Lineage: Bacteria; Pseudomonadati; Pseudomonadota; Gammaproteobacteria; Enterobacterales; Enterobacteriaceae.
GACUCGUCACACUAUCAUUAACUGAAUCCAUAGGUUAAUGAGGCGAACCGGGGGAACUGAAACAUCUAAGUACCCCGAGGAAAAGAAAUCAACCGAGAUUCCCCCAGUAGCGGCGAGCGAACGGGGAGGAGCCCAGAGCCUGAAUCAGCAUGUGUGUUAGUGGAAGCGUCUGGAAAGGCGCGCGAUACAGGGUGACAGCCCCGUACACAAAAGCGCAUGUGCUGUGAGCUCGAUGAGUAGGGCGGGACACGUGGUAUCCUGUCUGAAUAUGGGGGGACCAUCCUCCAAGGCUAAAUACUCCUGACUGACCGAUAGUGAACCAGUACCGUGAGGGAAAGGCGAAAAGAACCCCGGCGAGGGGAGUGAAAAAGAACCUGAAACCGUGUACGUACAAGCAGUGGGAGCACCCUUUGGGGUGUGACUGCGUACCUUUUGUAUAAUGGGUCAGCGACUUAUAUUCUGUAGCAAGGUUAACCGUAUAGGGGAGCCGGAGGGAAACCGAGUCUUAACCGGGCGUUAAGUUGCAGGGUAUAGACCCGAAACCCGGUGAUCUAGCCAUGGGCAGGUUGAAGGUUGGGUAACACUAACUGGAGGACCGAACCGACUAAUGUUGAAAAAUUAGCGGAUGACCUGUGGCUGGGGGUGAAAGGCCAAUCAAACCGGGAGAUAGCUGGUUCUCCCCGAAAGCU